CUCUGUUGUUAAAGAAGAACACGUAUGACGAGUAACUGUUCAUACGUUCGACGGUAUUUAACCAGAAAGUCACGGCUAACUACGUGCCAGCAGCCGCGGUAAUACCGUAGGUGGCAAGCGUUAUCCGGAUUUAUUGGGCGUAAAGAGAGUGCAGGCGGUUUUCUAAGUCUGAUGUGAAAGCCUUCGGCUUAACCGGAGAAGUGCAUCGGAAACUGGAUAACUUGAGUGCAGAAGAGGGUAGUGGAACUCCAUGUGUAGCGGUGGAAUGCGUAGAUAUAUGGAAGAACACCAGUGGCGAAGGCGGCUACCUGGUCUGCAACUGACGCUGAGACCUCGUAAAGCAUGGGUAGCCGAACAGGAUUAGAUACCCCUGGUAG
This 377-nucleotide ribosomal RNA is filed under the name uncultured bacterium. Its description in RNAcentral is "bacterial SSU rRNA". It matches the Rfam family "Bacterial small subunit ribosomal RNA", at positions 431 to 793 of the family's 1533-position model. The record is from RNAcentral.